GUCCACGCCGUAAACGAUGGGCACUAGGUGUCGGAGGUGUCGACUCCUCCGGUGCCGAAGCUAACGCAUUAAGUGCCCCGCCUGGGGAGUACGGCCGCAAGGCUAAAACUCAAAGGAAUUGACGGGGACCCGCACAAGCAGCGGAGCAUGUGGUUCAAUUCGACGCAACGCGAAGAACCUUACCUGGGCUUGACAUGUAGGUGACAACCGUGGAAAACACGGUCUCCCUUCGGGGCACCUUCACAGGUGGUGCAUGGCUGUCGU
This 264-nucleotide ribosomal RNA is filed under the name uncultured bacterium. RNAcentral's name for it is "partial 16S ribosomal RNA". It matches the Rfam family "Bacterial small subunit ribosomal RNA", at positions 793 to 1055 of the family's 1533-position model. The record is from RNAcentral.